UACAGGGGAGUAAUCAUGUGAAAACGUGACUAAUACCGCAUGUCAUUUGUUGAAGGCAUCUUCGACAAAGAAAAGGAGCAAUCCGGUAUGAGAUGGGCCCGCAUCUGAUUAGCUAGUUGGUGAGAUAACAGCCCACCAAGGCGACGAUCAGUAGCCGACCUGAGAGGGUGAUCGGCCACAUUGGGACUGAGACACGGCCCAA
RNAcentral lists this ribosomal RNA (202 nucleotides) under uncultured bacterium. RNAcentral's name for it is "partial 16S ribosomal RNA". It matches the Rfam family "Bacterial small subunit ribosomal RNA", at positions 134 to 334 of the family's 1533-position model. The record is from RNAcentral.